This 253-nucleotide ribosomal RNA is filed under the name uncultured bacterium. RNAcentral's name for it is "partial 16S ribosomal RNA". It matches the Rfam family "Bacterial small subunit ribosomal RNA", at positions 524 to 776 of the family's 1533-position model. The record is from RNAcentral.
UACGUAGGGUGCGAGCGUUGUCCGGAAUUAUUGGGCGUAAAGGGCUCGUAGGCGGCCUGUUGCGUCUGCUGUGAAAGCCCGGGGCUCAACCCCGGGUCUGCAGUGGAUACGGACAGGCUAGAGUCCGGCAGGGGAGACUGGAAUUCCUGGUGUAGCGGUGAAAUGCGCAGAUAUCAGGAGGAACACCGGUGGCGAAGGCGGGUCUCUGGGCCGGUACUGACGCUGAGGAGCGAAAGCGUGGGGAGCGAACAGG